This 223-nucleotide unclassified non-coding RNA is filed under the name rhizosphere metagenome. RNAcentral's name for it is "partial ribosomal RNA internal transcribed spacer region". The record is from RNAcentral.
GUAGGUGAACCUGCGGAGGGAUCAUUACCGAGUGAGGGUCGUUCCGGCGCCCGACCUCCCAACCCUUUGCCUGACCAAACCUCUGUUGCCUCGGGGGCGACCCGGCCCUUUUUCCAAAAAGGCGUCGGGGCCCCCGGUGGACCAACCAACCAAACUCUGCAUCCGUGCGUCGGAGUCGAAAUAAAAUAAAUUAAAACUUUCAACAACGGAUCUCUUGGUUCUC